UAGGGAAUCUUCCACAAUGGACGAAAGUCUGAUGGAGCAAUGCCGCGUGAGUGAAGAAGGGUUUCGGCUCGUAAAACUCUGUUGUUAAAGAAGAACACCUUUGAGAGUAACUGUUCAAGGGUUGACGGUAUUUAACCAGAAAGCCACGGCUAACUACGUGCCAGCAGCCGCGGUAAUACGUAGGUGGCAAGCGUUGUCCGGAUUUAUUGGGCGUAAAGCGAGCGCAGGCGGUUUUUUAAGUCUGAUGUGAAAGCCUUCGGCUUAACCGGAGAAGUGCAUCGGA
RNAcentral lists this ribosomal RNA (283 nucleotides) under Levilactobacillus brevis. RNAcentral's name for it is "Lactobacillus brevis partial 16S ribosomal RNA". It matches the Rfam family "Bacterial small subunit ribosomal RNA", at positions 355 to 630 of the family's 1533-position model. Lineage: Bacteria; Bacillati; Bacillota; Bacilli; Lactobacillales; Lactobacillaceae. The record is from RNAcentral.